CCCUAAUGAUAGCCCUAUCUAUAUAAACCCUCAAGCGCUCCAAACUCCCGUGUUACAUUGACCUUCAAAAAAAAAAAAACUUCAUCUUUUCGUUUUGCCGCCAUCACCAUCUCCCCACCUUCAGCCAUCUUUUCUGACGGGGACUACUAGGUGACUUCUUUGAAGACUUCGUACCUUGAGAAAUCACCGCACGCUCAAGGUUGGUAAAGGUACUUGGCUACGAGUGAGGGGACGCUUAGAAUAAUCACCUAGUCAAGGGACAAUUUCUAUUUUAGUUUAAGUUGAAUUUUGUUAUUUAUUUUAUGGAAAUUUAUUGGUUGUAAUAUUUUAUUGGCCACCUUUUAGACCACUUAGUUAAUUUUGAAUUUAAUGGUUUUAAAUGGUUUUGUUGCUUUGCAUUUAAUUUCUAUGGAUAAUAAAUGUAGCAGUGACACUCCCAAGGUUUGGACGAUCGAUUUAUUAAAUAAAAACAGGGUUUUUGAUUAUAUAAAAGGUCCAAAUUUUGGGGGUGUUACAAAUUGGUACCAGAGCUUAGGUUUGUUUUCAAAAAAAAUUAAAAUUAUUUUCUUUUAGGAAAAUUGGGAUUAAUAAGAGUAGGUUAAAAAUUGUAUACGGGUUGUUAAUUUAAAUAGGAUAAAAUAAGUACUAAGUUAGUAAAAGCC
This is a long non-coding RNA of Spinacia oleracea (spinach), 662 nucleotides long. RefSeq lists it as uncharacterized. NCBI's taxonomy places the organism in Eukaryota, Viridiplantae, Streptophyta, Magnoliopsida, Caryophyllales, Amaranthaceae. The record is from RefSeq and is a predicted model, not a curated record. The transcript is spliced from 3 exons.